AGAAUGGGGCUGUAGUACUUCUAAUGGAGAUGAGGUCAGCGGAAUGGGGCAGUAGUACUUCUAAUGGAGAUGAGGUCAGCAGAAUGGGGCUGUAGUACUUCUAAUGGAGAUGAGGUCAGCGGAAUGGGGCUGUAGUACUUUAAUGGAGAUGAGGUCAGCAGAAUGGGGCUGUAGUCCUUCUAAUGGAGAGGAGGUCAGCAGAAUGGGGCUGUAGUACUUCUAAUGGAGAUGAGGUCAGCAGAAUGGGGCUGUAGUCCUAAUGGAGAGGAGGUCAGCAGAAUGGGGCUGUAGUCCUUCUAAUGGAGAGGAGGUCAGCAGAAUGGGGCUGUAGUCCUAAUGGAGAGGAGGUCAGCAGAAUGGGGCUGUAGUACUUCUAAUGGAGAGGAGGUCAGCAGAAUGGGGCUGUAGUACUUCUAAUGGAGAGGAGGUCAGCAGAAUGGGGCUGUAGUACUUCUAAUGGAGAUGAGGUCAGCAGAAUGGGGCUGUAGUCCUUCUAAUGGAGAGGAGGUCAGCAGAAUGGGGCUGUAGUACUUCUAAUGGAGAGGAGGUCAGCAGAAUGGGGCUAUAGUACUUCUAAUGGAGAGGAGGUCAGCAGAAUGGGGCUGUAGUCCUAAUGGAGAGGAGGUCAGCAGAAUGGGGCUGUAGUACUUCUAAUGGAGAUUCUCUAUCUAAACUGUUCUGUGUUUAGCUGGAGCUUGUGCUUGUCACAGGCAUACAUGAUAUAGAGGACUGGACCUCCCUCCAUAAACAGAGUAUUUUGUUUCAGUGUGAGACA
Molecule: long non-coding RNA, 775 nt
Organism: Oncorhynchus keta (chum salmon)
Lineage: Eukaryota; Metazoa; Chordata; Actinopteri; Salmoniformes; Salmonidae
Exons: 4
Source: RefSeq, a predicted model, not a curated record